Molecule: signal recognition particle RNA, 272 nt
Filed under: Gopherus evgoodei (Goodes thornscrub tortoise)
Lineage: Eukaryota; Metazoa; Chordata; Testudines; Testudinidae
Description: Metazoan signal recognition particle RNA (ENSGEVG00005011320.1)
Rfam family: Metazoan signal recognition particle RNA
About the family: The signal recognition particle (SRP) is a universally conserved ribonucleoprotein.
Source: Rfam by way of RNAcentral
GCAGAGCUCCCAGGCUGAGCCUGAAAUUGUAAGUGCGAGAGGCUGAAGCCGGCGGAUCGCUUGAGCUCAGGCGCUCUGGGCUGCAGUGGGCUGUGCCUAUCGGGUGUCCGCACUAAAUUCAGCAUCAAUAUGGUGAUCCCUGCAGAGCUUGGGGUCCCCAGGUUGCCUAAGGAGGGGUGAACCGGCCCAGGUCAGGAACGGAGCAGGUCAAAACUCCCGUGCCGAUCACACCUGUGAAUAGCCCCUGGGCAGACAGCGAGACACGGUCUCAU